UGGGCCUAAUAUGUAUAUAAUUGGUGUAUAAGAGGUCAGACUGGGCCUAAUAUGUAUAUAAUUGGUGUAUAAGAGGUCAGACUGGGCCUAAUAUGUAUAUAAUUGGUGUAUAAGAGGUCAGACUGGGCCUAAUAUGUAUAUAAUUGGUGUAUAAGAGGUCAGACUGGGCCUAAUAUGUAUAUAAUUGGUGUAUAAGAGGUCAGACUGGGCCUAAUAUGUAUAUAAUUGGUGUAUAAGAGGUCAGACUGGGCCUAAUAUGUAUAUAAUUGGUGUAUAAGAGGUCAGACUGGGCCUAAUAUGUAUAUAAUUGGUGUAUAAGAGGUCAGACUGGGCCUAAUAUGUAUAUAAUUGGUGUAUAAGAGGUCAGACUGGGCCUAAUAUGUAUAUAAUUGGUGUAUAAGAGGUCAGACUGGGCCUAAUAUGUAUAUAAUUGGUGUAUAAGAGGUCAGACUGGGCCUAAUAUGUAUAUAAUUGGUGUAUAAGAGGUCAGACUGGGCCUAAUAUGUAUAUAAUUGGUGUAUAAGAGGUCAGACUGGGCCUAAUAUGUAUAUAAUUGGUGUAUAAGAGGUCAGACUGGGCCUAAUAUGUAUAUAAUUGGUGUAUAAGAGGUCAGACUGGGCCUAAUAUGUAUAUAAUUGGUGUAUAAGAGGUCAGACUGGGCCUAAUAUGUAUAUAAUUGGUGUAUAAGAGGUCAGACUGGGCCUAAUAUGUAUAUAAUUGGUGUAUAAGAGGUCAGACUGGGCCUAAUAUGUAUAUAAUUGGUGUAUAAGAGGUCAGACUGGGCCUAAUAUGUAUAUAAUUGGUGUAUAAGAGGUCAGACUGGGCCUAAUAUGUAUAUAAUUGGUGUAUAAGAGGUCAGACUGGGCCUAAUAUGUAUAUAAUUGGUGUAUAAGAGGUCAGACUGGGCCUAAUAUGUAUAUAAUUGGUGUAUAAGAGGUCAGACUGGGCCUAAUAUGUAUAUAAUUGGUGUAUAAGAGGUCAGACUGGGCCUAAUAUGUAUAUAAUUGGUGUAUAAGAGGUCAGACUGGGCCUAAUAUGUAUAUAAUUGGUGUAUAAGAGGUCAGACUGGGCCUAAUAUGUAUAUAAUUGGUGUAUAAGAGGUCAGACUGGGCCUAAUAUGUAUAUAAUUGGUGUAUAAGAGGUCAGACUGGGCCUAAUAUGUAUAUAAUUGGUGUAUAAGAGGUCAGACUGGGCCUAAUAUGUAUAUAAUUGGUGUAUAAGAGGUCAGACUGGGCCUAAUAUGUAUAUAAUUGGUGUAUAAGAGGUCAGACUGGGCCUAAUAUGUAUAUAAUUGGUGUAUAAGAGGUCAGACUGGGCCUAAUAUGUAUAUAAUUGGUGUAUAAGAGGUCAGACUGGGCCUAAUAUGUAUAUAAUUGGUGUAUAAGAGGUCAGACUGGGCCUAAUAUGUAUAUAAUUGGUGUAUAAGAGGUCAGACUGGGCCUAAUAUGUAUAUAAUUGGUGUAUAAGAGGUCAGACUGGGCCUAAUAUGUAUAUAAUUGGUGUAUAAGAGGUCAGACUGGGCCUAAUAUGUA
Oncorhynchus keta (chum salmon) is the source of this 1532-nucleotide long non-coding RNA. RefSeq lists it as uncharacterized. The transcript has 3 exons. NCBI's taxonomy places the organism in Eukaryota, Metazoa, Chordata, Actinopteri, Salmoniformes, Salmonidae. The record is from RefSeq and is a predicted model, not a curated record.